RNAcentral lists this ribosomal RNA (384 nucleotides) under uncultured bacterium. RNAcentral's name for it is "bacterial SSU rRNA". It matches the Rfam family "Bacterial small subunit ribosomal RNA", at positions 29 to 414 of the family's 1533-position model. The record is from RNAcentral.
AUUGAACGCUGGCGGAAUGCUUUACACAUGCAAGUCGAACGGCAGCACGGGGGCAACCCUGGUGGCGAGUGGCGAACGGGUGAGUAAUACAUCGGAACGUGCCCAGUCGUGGGGGAUAACGUAGCGAAAGCUACGCUAAUACCGCAUACGAACUGAGGUUGAAAGCGGGGGAUCGCAAGACCUCGCGCGAUUGGAGCGGCCGAUGGCAGAUUAGGUAGUUGGUGGGGUAAAGGCNCACCAAGCCGACGAUCUGUAGCUGGUCUGAGAGGACGACCAGCCACACUGGGACUGAGACACGGCCCAGACUCCUACGGGAGGCAGCAGUGGGGAAUUUUGGACAAUGGGCGCAAGCCUGAUCCAGCCAUUCCGCGUGCAGGAUGAAGG